This 265-nucleotide ribosomal RNA is filed under the name uncultured archaeon. RNAcentral's name for it is "partial 16S ribosomal RNA". It matches the Rfam family "Archaeal small subunit ribosomal RNA", at positions 718 to 982 of the family's 1478-position model. The record is from RNAcentral.
AGUCACUGACAUUAGAUACCCCUGUAGUCCAGGGUGUAAACGCUGCAGACUUGGUGUUGGAGGCCCUUUGGGGGCAUUCAGUGCCGGAGAGAAGUUGUUAAGUCUGCUACUUGGGGAGUACGUCCGCAAGGAUGAAACUUAAAGGAAUUGGCGGGGGAGCACCGCAACGGGAGGAGCGUGCGGUUUAAUUGGAUUCAACACCGUAAAACCCACCAGGGAAGACUGUUACAUGAAGGCCGAGAUGAAGACUCUGCUAGAUUUUCAG